CUCAGUAGACUGGUCCAACCCGAUGAUCCGUCGACCACACCAGGUGUCUUUCCUCAUUGUUGCUGCGAGAGGUUCCACCAUCGCCGCCGCCGCUCUCUCCAUUACUCAACUCCGCCGCCGCCGCCGUAGAUGGAGAGGAAAACGACGGUGCGCAGCGACUCCUCAGUCGCCUUCCUCACCUUCUCGGCCGCUGUACUCAUCCUCGCCGCGGAGGAUCUCGGCCUCCCCGACUCCCCGUCCCCAUCCCUGGCUCCACCGUUUGCGCCGCGGCCGGCGUCCUGGUCAUCCUCACCAUGGACGAGGCCAGCAGUUGUUGCACCCUGUCCUUGAUAGCCUACCGCACGGCCUGCACCGCCCGCGCGACCACCCUGCUGAUUUACUAGUUUGAGUAAUUGACAUUUUGUAAUAUGGUUACAUUCCUGGUUUUAGAUCUUCUUAUAUUUUGAAGGCACAAGUUUAUAAAAUCAGCAUAUGUGCAUUUAUCAGAACCCUAAUUGGACAGAAGGCACAAGUUUAUGAAAUCAACCUGGUGAAUAUUUUUGCUAUGUUUGCCGGACACUCAUAUUGUCCAACGAGGCUCUGCAAACUCAGUGCACACAUCUUUACUGCAAACCUUGCUUGACUUAUGUAGCAUCGACAACGCAAGCCUGCCCUUAUGAUGGCUACUUGGUGACAGAAGCCGAUUCCAAGUUAGCAGAGCUACCAACUGGACAACCGCGAGGUGCUCCAUAUCAUGGUGAGGCGGCAACGAGCUGCGCAAGGCCAGCGAUGAUCGUCUGGAGGGCAACAACGAGCUGCAGGAAGGCCGGCGACGAUCAUCUGGAGGGCGGUGACGAGCUGCAGGGAGGCCGGUGACGAGCUGCGAGGCCGGCGACGUGCUGCGGCAUAAUUGACGGCAUAGGUCCUGGUCUUCAUGGCGCGAUGCAUGAUUGGAAUUUGCUAUUCUUCUUUCUCUCCAAUGUUUACUUCAUUUUAUAAUGUUUCUGACUGGCUGUUUUUUUUAAAA
Long non-coding RNA from Lolium perenne, 1006 nucleotides. RefSeq lists it as uncharacterized. The record is from RefSeq and is a predicted model, not a curated record. NCBI's taxonomy places the organism in Eukaryota, Viridiplantae, Streptophyta, Magnoliopsida, Poales, Poaceae.